UCUUUCAAGGUGGUGCUGAUGUUGGUGU
This 28-nucleotide non-coding RNA is filed under the name Rattus norvegicus (Norway rat). The record is from RNAcentral. Lineage: Eukaryota; Metazoa; Chordata; Mammalia; Rodentia; Muridae.